UUAUUUUUUGUAUAAAUACUCUGUGCUAUUGCAGAUAAGAUCAUCAUUUGUCGCAAUGAAAUUCUACGCUUUAUUUGCAUUUGUUUUGGCCUUGUUGGCUAUGGCCAUGGCUAAUCCCAAUCCAAAUCCUCAUCCUGAACCCAGACCAUUGCCAGGUGGUGGUGGUGGCGGAGGCGGCGGCGGUGGUGGCAAGUGAA
Musca vetustissima is the source of this 197-nucleotide long non-coding RNA. RefSeq lists it as uncharacterized. The transcript has 2 exons. Lineage: Eukaryota; Metazoa; Arthropoda; Insecta; Diptera; Muscidae. The record is from RefSeq and is a predicted model, not a curated record.